UCCCCGCCGCCGACUUCUCCUGAUUACCCUUGUGAGUUCCUGUGCACAGCCGGGACUUCUUCUUCCUCGAGCUAUAGCCGCCGCUUCUCCUUGCACCAGCAUCACGGCACCAGCCGAUCUCCCUCACGCGGGCACCACAGCUUGCGAUCUCACCCUCAGCCGAAGUCGCGGCCGCCGAUUCUCUCCAAGUCGUGCCCUAACCAAACCAGCAAGUAGAUUCCCUUCGACGUUGAUUGAAGACGGUUGAUACAAUCUACGUAUAAAGGUAACAGGUAGAUG
This is a long non-coding RNA of Zingiber officinale, 279 nucleotides long. RefSeq lists it as uncharacterized. The transcript is spliced from 3 exons. The record is from RefSeq and is a predicted model, not a curated record. NCBI's taxonomy places the organism in Eukaryota, Viridiplantae, Streptophyta, Magnoliopsida, Zingiberales, Zingiberaceae.